GAUGAACGCUGGCGGCGUGCCUAAUACAUGCAAGUCGAGCGAACAGAUGAGGAGCUUGCUCCUCUGACGUUAGCGGCGGACGGGUGAGUAACACGUGGAUAACCUACCUAUAAGACUGGGAUAACUUCGGGAAACCGGAGCUAAUACCGGAUAAUAUAUUGAACCGCAUGGUUCAAUAGUGAAAGACGGUUUUGCUGUCACUUAUAGAUGGAUCCGCGCCGCAUUAGCUAGUUGGUAAGGUAACGGCUUACCAAGGCAACGAUGCGUAGCCGACCUGAGAGGGUGAUCGGCCACACUGGCACUGAGACACGGUCCGGACUCCUACGGGAGGCAGCAGUAGGGAAUCUUCCGCAAUGGGCGAAAGCCUGACGGAGCAACGCCGCGUGAGUGAUGCAGGUCUUCGGAUCGUAAAGCUCUGUUAUUAGGGAAGAACAAAUGUGUAAGUAACUAUGCACGUCUUGACGGUACCUAAUCAGAAAGCCACGGCUAACUACGUG
This 497-nucleotide ribosomal RNA is filed under the name uncultured bacterium. Its description in RNAcentral is "partial 16S ribosomal RNA". It matches the Rfam family "Bacterial small subunit ribosomal RNA", at positions 28 to 507 of the family's 1533-position model. The record is from RNAcentral.